GACGAACGCUGGCGGCGUGCUUAACACAUGCAAGUCGAACGGAAAGGCCCUGCUUUUGUGGGGUGCUCGAGUGGCGAACGGGUGAGUAACACGUGAGUAACCUGCCCUUGACUUUGGGAUAACUUCAGGAAACUGGGGCUAAUACCGGAUAGGAGCUCCUGCUGCAUGGUGGGGGUUGGAAAGUUUCGGCGGUUGGGGAUGGACUCGCGGCUUAUCAGCUUGUUGGUGGGGUAGUGGCUUACCAAGGCUUUGACGGGUAGCCGGCCUGUGAGGGUGACCGGCCACAUUGGGACAGAGAUACGGCCCAGACUCCUACGGGAGGCAGGAGUGGGGAAUAAUGGAAAAAGGGCGGAAGCCUGAUGCAGGAACGCCGAGUGCGGGAUGACGGCCUUCGGGUUGUAAACCGCUUUCGCCUGUGACGAAGCGUGAGUGAAGGUAAUGGGUAAAGAAGCACCGGCUAACUACGUG
This 468-nucleotide ribosomal RNA is filed under the name uncultured bacterium. Its description in RNAcentral is "partial 16S ribosomal RNA". It matches the Rfam family "Bacterial small subunit ribosomal RNA", at positions 28 to 507 of the family's 1533-position model. The record is from RNAcentral.